GCACACGUAGCCCAAUUUGGUAGAGGCGCAGCGUUGAGGUCGCUGUUGUUGGAGGUUCGAGUCCUCUCGUGUGCAC
RNAcentral lists this transfer RNA (76 nucleotides) under Streptomyces phage Gilson. RNAcentral's name for it is "tRNA-Leu". It matches the Rfam family "tRNA". From Rfam's summary of the family: Transfer RNA (tRNA) molecules are approximately 80 nucleotides in length. Their secondary structure includes four short double-helical elements and three loops (D, anti-codon, and T loops). Lineage: Duplodnaviria; Heunggongvirae; Uroviricota; Caudoviricetes; Stanwilliamsviridae. RNAcentral also lists the same sequence under 3 other names. The record is from RNAcentral.